This 253-nucleotide ribosomal RNA is filed under the name uncultured bacterium. RNAcentral's name for it is "partial 16S ribosomal RNA". It matches the Rfam family "Bacterial small subunit ribosomal RNA", at positions 524 to 776 of the family's 1533-position model. The record is from RNAcentral.
UACGUAGGGGGCAAGCGUUGUCCGGAAUCAUUGGGCGUAAAGAGCGUGUAGGCGGCCCGUUAAGUCCGCUGUGAAAGUCCAGGGCUCAACCCUGGGAUGCCGGUGGAUACUGUCGGGCUCGAGUCCGGAAGAGGAGUGUGGAAUUCCUGGUGUAGUGGUGGAAUGCGUAGAUAUCGGGAGGAACACCAGUGGCGAAGGCGGUUGCCUGGAGCUUUGCUGACGCUGAUGCGCGAAAGCGUGGGGAGCGAUCCGG